This is a non-coding RNA of Penaeus vannamei (Pacific white shrimp), 450 nucleotides long. The record is from RefSeq and is a predicted model, not a curated record. Lineage: Eukaryota; Metazoa; Arthropoda; Malacostraca; Decapoda; Penaeidae.
UUUGAUAUCAAUAUUACAUUUGAUUUCACGAUUAUUAUGACAAUGAUUAUCAUAAUUACCAUCACCAUUUUCAUCAUCAUUACUCCCACUCAUCAUCCUUAUUAGUAUUAUCCUCAUAAUCACUAGCGCGUUUGAUUAAAUUAAUUAGAGAGAAAUUGAGAAUUACUGCGCACUGAUUUCUCAACCAUUAAGCACUAAGCGAAAGAAUAUCAAAGUCAGAUUUUUUCCUAGAAAUUCUGAUGAUGCUGACAUUUCCCUUAUAUGGACAGUCAGCCACAUCCCUUGCAGCGCCGUGCCUAAAUAGGUAUGAUGAUAGUGGUUUUGACAAUGCUGAUAGCGGUAGUAAUGAGCUGAAGGAUGAUUGACGUCAGGAAAGGUAGCCAGUAAGGUAAAGGCGGUAUUGACAGGGAAGUUCAGCUGGGACGUCGCCUUCGACUUUGGCUUUGACAC